GGUUAUGGCUCAGUGGUAGAGUGCCUGCCUAGCACUAGUGAGGCACUGGGUUGGAUCCCCAGAACCA
Molecule: transfer RNA, 67 nt
Filed under: Marmota monax (woodchuck)
Lineage: Eukaryota; Metazoa; Chordata; Mammalia; Rodentia; Sciuridae
Description: tRNA.Ala
Source: RNAcentral